AGAGUUGAUCAUGGCUCAGGAUGAACGCUGGCGGCAGGCUAAUACAUGCAAGUCGAACGGUAAGGCCGAGUGCAGCAAUGCACGAGGUACACGAGUGGCGCACGGGUGCGUAACGCGUAUGCAACCUGCCCCCAACCGGGACAAAACAGCUGGAAACGGCUGCUAAUAUCCCAUGGUCACUUAAAACGGCAUCGUUAUGGGUGUAAAGAUUUAUUGGUUGGGGAUGGGCAUGCGUAUUAUUAGGUAGUUGGCGGGGUAACGGCCCACCAAGCCGACGAUGAUUAGGGGUUCUGAGAGGAAAGACCCCCACACUGGAACUGAGACACGGUCCAGACUCCUACGGGAGGCAGCAGUAGGGAAUAUUGGGCAAUGGAGGCAACUCUGACCCAGCCAUGCCGCGUGAAGGAAUAAGGCCCUAUGGGUCGUAAACUUCUUUUACCGCAGAGUAAACCCGGGGACGCGUCCCUGGUUGAGAGUAUGCGGGGAAUAAGUAUCGGCUAACUCCGUGCCAGCAGCAGC
This 519-nucleotide ribosomal RNA is filed under the name uncultured bacterium. RNAcentral's name for it is "bacterial SSU rRNA". It matches the Rfam family "Bacterial small subunit ribosomal RNA", at positions 8 to 518 of the family's 1533-position model. The record is from RNAcentral.